UUGACAGAGGAGUUUGGUCCCUUUUUCUCCCCUUUCAGCUCUUCUGUCACGUGAGGACACAGCAUGUUCCCCUCUAUAGAAUGCAGAAGUAAGACACCAUCUUGGAAGCAGAGAGCAGCUCUCACCAGACAACCAAACCUUCUAGCAUCUUGAUCUUCAACUUCCCAGCCUCCAGAACUUGUUCCUCCCAUUCAGAAGAAGGAACAACAAGGCACCAUCUUGAAAGUAGAGAGACCGGAACCUCACCAGCCAGCAUCUUGACCUUGGACUACCCAGCCUUCAGAAUUAUAAGUAAUAAAGUUCUAUUGUUUAUAAAUUA
Molecule: long non-coding RNA, 319 nt
Organism: Galeopterus variegatus (Sunda flying lemur)
Lineage: Eukaryota; Metazoa; Chordata; Mammalia; Dermoptera; Cynocephalidae
Exons: 2
Source: RefSeq, a predicted model, not a curated record